Molecule: ribosomal RNA, 546 nt
Filed under: Triticum aestivum (bread wheat)
Lineage: Eukaryota; Viridiplantae; Streptophyta; Magnoliopsida; Poales; Poaceae
Description: partial small subunit ribosomal RNA
Source: RNAcentral
AUGUUGCUGGUGCUCGACGUUCUCCAUCGAUUGGUUAGGCCGUCGCCUGCGACGAAGAAGAGGAGGGAGGACGCGAUGAUGCUGUCUGGGGCUGAUCCAUCUGCCGCGGUCGCUCCUUCGUCCGUGGGGAGGGGAGGUGAUGGCGUUCACACCUCCCCUGCUCGGUCAUCCUCUGGAAGCCUCGAGAAACGCCCUGACGGGGCGCCUGCCCUCAUGGCCCCGCUGGCUCCAGAGGUGCCGAUACCUAAUGUUGUUGCUGAGGUACCCAAGGCUCGGGAGCCCCCAGUCUCCCUAGCCAUGGCUACACCGCCGCCUCCUCCUUUUGCUGCGCUGCUGGUUCCAGGUUCUUCCGCCUCCUCUGAUGUCUUGGAGCGUUCCCUCUCUGAGAUGGCCCAGCUACGAGAAGGUCUCGAGGGCGCCGACUCCCAUCUGGUGGCCGGGCAUCUGGAGCUGGUUUCUGGCUGGGUUCACUCUGACGCCUCUGUCCGAGCGGCGCUGGGGCGGGCCGCGGCAGCCUCUAAGAAGGAGAAGCAGGUUGCCACCUAA